Molecule: ribosomal RNA, 527 nt
Filed under: uncultured bacterium
Lineage: Bacteria
Description: bacterial SSU rRNA
Rfam family: Bacterial small subunit ribosomal RNA
Source: RNAcentral
AUGCUAGGAAUCUACCUGGUAGUGUGGGACAACCCGGCGAAAGCCAGGCUAAUACCGCAUACGAUCCAAGGAUGAAAGCAGAGGACCGCAAGGCCUUGCGCUAUCAGAUGAGCCUGCGUCGGAUUAGCUAGUUGGUAGGGUAAAAGCCUACCAAGGCAACGAUCCGUAACUGGUUUGAGAGAACGACCAGUCACACUGGGACUGAGACACGGCCCAGACUCCUACGGGAGGCAGCAGUGGGGAAUAUUGGACAAUGGGGGCAACCCUGAUCCAGCAAUGCCGCGUGUGUGAAGAAGGCCUUCGGGUUGUAAAGCACUUUCGGUGGGGAAAAAUUUGGCGGAGCUAACAUCUCCGCCCUUGAUGGUACCCAAAGAAGAAGCACCGGCUAACUCUGUGCCAGCAGCCGCGGUAAUACAGAGGGUGCAAGCGUUAAUCGGAAUUACUGGGCGUAAAGGGUGCGUAGGUGGUUUGUUAAGUCAGGCGUGAAAUCCUCGGGCUCAACCUGGGAACUGCGUCUGAUACUGGCA